GUUUCUUUGCAAACAUUCGAUAAAAUUGGAAUGAUAACGAGAAGAUCAGCACGGCCCUUGCGUAAGGAUGGCGUGCGGAAUCGACAGAUCGAGAAAAUAUAG
Rhodamnia argentea is the source of this 102-nucleotide small nuclear RNA. The record is from RefSeq and is a predicted model, not a curated record. NCBI's taxonomy places the organism in Eukaryota, Viridiplantae, Streptophyta, Magnoliopsida, Myrtales, Myrtaceae.